Hordeum vulgare subsp. vulgare (domesticated barley) is the source of this 1359-nucleotide RNA transcript. RefSeq lists it as uncharacterized. The transcript is spliced from 3 exons. The record is from RefSeq and is a predicted model, not a curated record. Lineage: Eukaryota; Viridiplantae; Streptophyta; Magnoliopsida; Poales; Poaceae.
AAACGCUGCACUUGCACGCGGCACAAACCUCCUUCGUCUACCUCUAACGAGAGAGAGAGCGCAAGCUGGAGCGCUUCGGGUCUGACAGGUCCUACCCCUAGCCAAAUCUAGUCUAUUCCAUAUAUACAGACUACCCCUAGUUCAACCAGACCAAACCCUAAAAAUCCUCCACCUUGUCCCAACCCGCCACUGCCAUCAUCUCCCACCUCAGGAUCUCCUCCCGAUCCAUCCAGCCCAACCAGUCGCCUCGUUCUUCAAUUUCCCCACCGAACCAACCAGCGACGUGCCCUCGAUCCAAAAAAUCCCCUAUGCUUCACCCAAUCCUCAGCCGCCUUCCAUCCAUCCAUCCAGGAGCGCCGUUGUCCCCGAGCAGCAGCAUCGCGAGGCCAGCGGCCAGCCCCAGCCUCGCCCUCUCCUUCCUGUUGUGUUCUCUCUCUCCAUCAUGCUCUUCCCUUCCUGUGCUCUGCCUCGACAGGACCGACGACCUGCAGCUUGCUGCCUUGCCUGCCGGAGCUCCGCCGGAACUCGGCGCCUUGCCGGACACUACCGCCGCCGACGAACAGCAGGAGAGCAGCAAUAGCCAUGGGAGUGGCUCUGGGCUCGAGUCCAUCUCGCCGUCCCUAGGAAUCGGCUCCCUCGGCUGGAUCCACCGGAGCCUCGCUCGUCUCAAUUCCCCCGCCUGCGCGCCGCCCCUGGCCGACGCAUCAAGCCGCGCCGCCGUGCUCUGCUCCUGGCGUGUUCAAGAACGAGCGCCUUGACUCACCCUCCGCGUUGACCGGGCUAGUCCCAGCUCAGCUCGUGUGUGUGUCAUCCCUAUCUGGCGAGACGACGGACGAAAGCUGGAUCCGGCGAUGGGGACGGUCGACACUGGCGGGUCGACGGGGGCAGGGAGCGGCGCAGGGGCGCACGGAUGAUGCGGCGCAGCGCGAGCCGUUCGAGAUGGGGAGGAAAUCGCGGGCCGUUCAGGAUGGAGAGGAGCGCGCGUGAUCAACGACGCGCGUGCGUCCGGCCGAAGCGUUUUGCCGGCACACGGGUGGUAAACGUUUUCCAUAUUUGUUUUGUCUAUUUUUGUACUUGUUCUGCAAGCCAACAUCGACCGCUCUUAGUUCAGUUAGUUCUGGUGUGUGAAUUGAACACAUUCGGUUUCAAGUCACACUGGUCAGCCUACCACGUUUGCAUCCAAGGGAUCCUGGGUUUGCACAUAUUCGGUCGUCGCCUCGGCCGCCCGUCGAAACCACCAUGGAUGCAUCUCGCGUGGUCACUCCUCAAAAAGUUUCAACAGUGUAUAGAAAAGCUUCAACCGGUAAAAAAAAAGCUUCAACCAAAAACUUCAUGAGGAAAAGUAUGAUUUGCCUUGCA